UACGAACUGUGCGAACGUUAUUCGGAAUCACUGGGCUUACAGGGUGCGUAGGCGGCUUUUCAAGUCAGGUGUGAAAGCCCCCGGCUCAACCGGGGAACUGCGCUUGAAACUGAAAGGCUCGAGUCAGCUAGAGGUACACGGAACUUCCAGUGGAGCGGUGAAAUGUGUUGAUAUUGGAAGGAACACCGGAGGCGAAAGCGGUGUACUGGGGCUGGUCUGACGCUGAGGCACGAAAGCCAGGGGAGCAAACAGG
This 253-nucleotide ribosomal RNA is filed under the name uncultured bacterium. RNAcentral describes it as "partial 16S ribosomal RNA". It matches the Rfam family "Bacterial small subunit ribosomal RNA", at positions 524 to 776 of the family's 1533-position model. The record is from RNAcentral.